GUUAUAGUUGUAAUAUUAAACUUUAAUGAACUUGUAUGUCUCUGUGAAUUGCUACUAACGUUUUGUUUGGCUAGUGCAUAGAGAUGUCAUCGUAUGUCGUGUACAAGGGUAAGGUUCCCGGAGUCUACGACGACAGGGAGGAGUGUCGGAGACAGGUUCACCGAUUCAGCAGUAAUAGUUACAAAGGGUACACCACAAGGGCGGAGGCGGAAGUUAGAUACGCGCGCUAUCUAGCGGGAGAAAGGAGGGAGCGUUGGAGGAACCGGAUGAAGAC
Molecule: long non-coding RNA, 274 nt
Filed under: Hordeum vulgare
Lineage: Eukaryota; Viridiplantae; Streptophyta; Magnoliopsida; Poales; Poaceae
Description: long non-coding RNA (HVUL_LNC015345)
Source: RNAcentral